RNAcentral lists this small RNA (408 nucleotides) under Pongo abelii (Sumatran orangutan). RNAcentral describes it as "processed transcript". Lineage: Eukaryota; Metazoa; Chordata; Mammalia; Primates; Hominidae. The record is from RNAcentral.
CCUCUCCUCGCGGCGCGGGUUGCAGGCAGCGCUGAGUCCUGCUGCGCACGUGGGAGGCCCUGGCCCCGGCCCCCCCCGCGAUGCCGCGCGCUCCCCGCUGCCGAGCCGUGCGCUCCCUGCUGCGCAGCCACUACCGCGAGGUGCUGCCGCUGGCCACGUUCGUGCGGCGCCUGGGGCCCCAGGGCUGGCGGCUGGUGCAGCGCGGGGACCCGGCGGCUUUCCGCGCGCUGGUGGCCCAGUGUCUGGUGUGCGUGCCCUGGGACGCACGGCCGCCCCCCGCCGCCCCCUCCUUCCGCCAGGUGUCCUGCCUGAAGGAGCUGGUGGCCCGGGUGCUGCAGAGGCUAUGCGAGCGCGGCGCGAGGAACGUGCUGGCCUUCGGCUUCGCGCUGCUGGACGGGGCCCGCGGCG